UACGUAGGGUGCAAGCGUUAAUCGGAACUACUGGGCGUAAAGCGUGCGCAGGCGGUUAUGUAAGACAGAUGUGAAAUCCCCGGGCUCAACCUGGGAACUGCAUUUGUGACUGCAUAGCUAGAGUACGGUAGAGGGGGAUGGAAUUCCGCGUGUAGCAGUGAAAUGCGUAGAUAUGCGGAGGAACACCGAUGGCGAAGGCAAUCCCCUGGACCUGUACUGACGCUCAUGCACGAAAGCGUGGGGAGCAAACAGG
Molecule: ribosomal RNA, 253 nt
Filed under: uncultured bacterium
Lineage: Bacteria
Description: partial 16S ribosomal RNA
Rfam family: Bacterial small subunit ribosomal RNA
Source: RNAcentral